GUGUGCUGUUAAAGAAGAUAAACAGAUGGAUAUAUUAUACUUAUUUAACUGUCUAGUAAAGUUCAAAGACAGUCUUUAAAAAGUGCAAUCCACAUGUUUACAUAUGUUUAUUACAGUAAACAAUAAUUAACUAAUAUAAAUACUACUAGUGUGGUAAAGCCACAUAUUUGUUUCUAUAUUUUUGCAAUCUGAAGUUAAGUUUGUGUGAUUUGUUUCUGACUUUCAUAUGAAUGUUUAAACCAGGCUUGGCCAGUGCUCAAUAUACUAUUGUGACUGAAAUAGUUAAAU
Molecule: long non-coding RNA, 288 nt
Organism: Etheostoma spectabile (orangethroat darter)
Lineage: Eukaryota; Metazoa; Chordata; Actinopteri; Perciformes; Percidae
Exons: 4
Source: RefSeq, a predicted model, not a curated record